CAGCAGCCGCGGUAAUACGGAGGGAGCUAGCGUUGUUCGGAAUUACUGGGCGUAAAGCGCGCGUAGGCGGUUACUCAAGUCAGAGGUGAAAGCCCGGGGCUCAACCCCGGAACUGCCUUUGAAACUAGGUGACUAGAAUCUUGGAGAGGUCAGUGGAAUUCAGAGUGUAGAGGUGAAAUUCGUAGAUAUUCGGAAGAACACCAGUGGCGAAGGCGACUGACUGGACAAGUAUUGACGCUGAGGUGCGAAAGCGUGGGGAGCAAACAGGAUUAGAUACCCCUGUAGUCCCUGUCUCUUAUAC
RNAcentral lists this ribosomal RNA (301 nucleotides) under uncultured bacterium. RNAcentral's name for it is "partial 16S ribosomal RNA". It matches the Rfam family "Bacterial small subunit ribosomal RNA", at positions 509 to 807 of the family's 1533-position model. The record is from RNAcentral.